RNAcentral lists this long non-coding RNA (3700 nucleotides) under Triticum aestivum (bread wheat). RNAcentral's name for it is "long non-coding RNA (TAES_LNC022874)". Lineage: Eukaryota; Viridiplantae; Streptophyta; Magnoliopsida; Poales; Poaceae. The record is from RNAcentral.
UGCGCGCCGCCGCCCUUCCACUGGUCCCCUCGCGCCACAUCAUCCCGACCCCAACCUCCCUCUAGCCCACAGUGCACCAUCCUCCCAGUAGCAGCAAGCCGUCCACCGCGGCAGGAGCAGCAGCGGCACCGAGGAGAAGCAGCGCCGUCAACCACCACCGGAUAGAUGCAGCAGCACCUUCCACCAGUGAGGAGAAGCAGUACCGUCAGCCACGGAGGAUCCACCGUGGUUUCCUGCUGAUCUUCUUUCCUCCGCCCAGCCUACAAAAUUAAAGAGGUAAGCUUUUGCCCCCAUUUUACUGAACUGAAACUGAAACAGAUAGAUCUAUCUUGCAGUGGUUGUUUUAGUUCAUCACAGAUAGAUCUCUGUUGCAAUCACAUGAACACAUCAGUUUUAAGCUAAAGCAAAUUAUUGUAGAUGUGUUUUGAAAAUCUUAAUUUGAUGAAACAAAGCCACUGGAAAAAAAACUUUUUGUGUCCCCACGUGGAUGUGCUUUUUGUCUCCACAUGGAUCGAAAUUCAUAUCGCUCUAUAAUGCCCUGCUCAGGGGAGAUCGGGAUGCUGCGCGCCGCGCCCUGCUUGGAUCUGAUGGAGCGGGGGAGAUAGUGGUCGGGGCAUGGGAUGGCGCCUUCGUCGUCAGACCAUUGGGAUUCAGCAUAUUUCUGCAGUCUUCUUUAGAGAUCAGGAGGGUUCGAUUCAACACAAUUCCGGGCUUGGGUUCCUGUCGAACAAAAUCAUCUCGACAGCAUUCCUCUUUCUUGCUUCUUAUUAGUCAAACUCUGAAAUCAAUUUCUAUAUUUUAGUGGGUACUUAAUUGAUUUGAUAGGCUAUAUCUACGUGUGAUGCAUCAACUAGGCUUUGUAAAUGGAUACAUAGUGUUUUCUGGUUAUUUUCUUCAAUAAUUAUGUGUUCCCAUUUCUCCCACUCAACAUGUUACAGAAUUUAGUGAUUAACAUUUAUCUACCGAAUUACAAUUCAGUCAAGCAUUACAAUCUUUAUGCCAAAACUAAACAAUAGAACAAAGUCUGCGUGGGAUUUGUAUUGCCAGCUAUGGCUUCAAAAAACAAAACCAAUAGUAAGUUAUUUAUGUACUAAUUCCCCUAAUGAUAUUAGCAUAUGUUGUUUGAAUUUAACUAUUGAAGAGCACAUGAAUGGUACUAGCAUCUAGGAUUGAGGGAUUAAAAGUUUACAAAAUUUCAAAGAAAUUGUAUGUUGGUUUCAUCUCUUUGUUGUUCUGAAAUUGCCGCCCUUGUUGAAUUGUUCUCUAUCACAUCUAAAGCAAAAUUUUACAGUUAGCAUAUGUGAUGGACUAUAUUUUUAAUUGGGGCUCGAGUAUAAUGGACUGGGAAUCAUUCUCUUAAUGAUCUGGUACUCUUGAACUCGUGCAUGAAACGUGCUUUUGUCAUAUAUAUUUCUCCCGAGGUUUGUGGGGAAUAAGAAAUUUAGAUAAAGAUAUGAUAUCUACACAUAUAGUAUAUCUUAAAGUCUGAAAGUCAGUCUUUCACUGUCCCUUUGAACCUUCUUCCCAACCUUUGAGGAUGUACAUAGCACCCUGCAGAGAUAACUUUUUUUAGAUGUGUAGAGCACUUCUUGAUGUUCAUCUUACCAGCUAGAUCUCACAUGUAACAACUAUGCGGUAGAAUAAACUUUUGCGAACACAAGAAAAAAUUGCAUUCUGCUGGAUUUUCUGUUACAGUUUUCAUGUUGUUUUUUUCCUGUUGAGGGGGACUAUUCAAAUAUGCUGAUGGUCUAAAAAAACCUAUGUAUACAUUAACAUCAAACAAUUAUGCAGAAAGUGGACCUUUUAAGUUCAGGAAAACCGCUUGAUGUCAUUUCACUCGGUAAAUGUCAGUCUGGUUUAGUCUUCUCUAAAGCUAUUUGACCCCAGCUACAUGGUCCAGUAGCAAUAACAGCCACAUGAUGGCCAAUUCAGAAAUACCUUUAGUGAUAUGUUGGAGUACAACCACAUGGUUAGAGUUUCCAUGUUAAAUCACUCCUUUCUUUUAUUAAUACUUAUUUGGUGAAGUUCUUGGCUGCAAUAUUACAAAGUUCAUGUGAAUGUUGUAUUGAAAAGAGAGGUGGAGCUUGCUUGUGGAUAUGAUGGAAUGCAAACAAUGGGCGAUGCUCACCACAUGUCCAUUGCAUGGCCAUCAAAUAGGGUAAAAAUAUAUUUUAUACAUUUUCCUAUUCUAGCGUAAACUAUCACCUGAUGCAAACUAAUUGUUAUUUUUGUAGAUCAAACCUUGCUCCAAGUCAUGGUUGUCGUCAUCGCAGAGUUCAGUUAUUAUUCCUGUCAACAUCACCAUGUUCUAUCUGACACUUGGAACUGAGAGCAAGUAGUAUACCACUACCAGUACCUCUAGUAGUGUGGAUCAACAUGUUUUUGCAAUUCUGUUGUCGAAAGUAUUUUAUUUUCAUUCAUCUAGUAUUGUGGAUCGGCAUGUUUUGUCUAGUUUAUAUUACAUCUGUUUGUGACCUGGUACAUCUAUUUCUGACCUGUUUGUGUCCUGGUGCAAUCUUCAAUGCUUGUUUUUCUAUUUCUCGUUCCUCGUUCUGUCCUAUGGAGAAUGGGGAAAACAUGUGAAAGCUCAAGAUCUUUCUGUAACUAAAAGUUCUAUCAUAUGCACUAGUUCAAUCCCAUUAAAGUUCCACUAAUGCACUAAAAUUUAUCAUUCCUGCAAUUGAUUCCUAGAAUUUACUGGCCUUAUCUCUCCACCUGAAUCUUUGGUUGAUUGUUCCUUCUAUACUGGAUCAUAUUUACUGGCCUUAUCUCUCCACAUGAAUCUUCGGCUCCCCUGCUAUUUGAUGUUGAAGAACUAACAAGUACCGAUGGUUUCCUUAGGUAGGAAACAUCAUUUUGUACUAUAUCAUCUCUUUUGGACUGAAAAUAUAGAACAUAUAUGUUUUGUACAGAACUUUUAGCAGCAGUCACCACACUAUUUUUUAUCAUGUCUUUUGGACUGAAAUAAAUAACAUUUUGUACAGUAUAUAACUAGCUAUGAGGAUGCUGAUUGUUGUUGCACAGGAAACAACAUUACAUAAUAAAAAUAUUCUUUGAGUUCUUAUUAUGGACUGACAAGGUACUGUAGCUUAGGGUUGUGUGUCAGAUUGAUAUAUUAUGGAAACCCCGCUCCCGAGCAGGGCUAGUACAAGAAUUAGUAAAACUUAUUGUUAAGCAAAAUGGUUUGCACGUCACUAACUUGGUAUAGAUCCAUAAGAAAACACUAACAUUGCUGAGAAUAGCUUCGGAUGCAAUACAGUCCAGAAAAUCACGUCUCUUCCAUCCUGCCCUCAUUUUCUUGCAUGUCCUUCUCAUUUUCUAAAAUUGCUCAAAGAUACAAGUUCUUUUGCAGGGACAAACGGGAGAAAGUAGCAUGUACUGAAGUUGAUCUAGGAUGUUCUGUUGUUCAUAUGGAAGUUGAUAUCGGCUUGAUCAAAGACCGGGUAUCUCCCAUAAUAUUUUGUAGUAGCCAAGUGAUCGAACAUUUGGUCUCUUGAGAACUUGCUCAUCAUAUUUUGUAACUGGCCAUGACCUGAAUGUCGACUUGUAUUUUUCCUUAAUGGCUGGAGCUAACUUGAGUGAAGAAAACUAGUGAAUCUUCUAUAUACUAGAUGACCCGUUGCGCCAAUGGCGCAAAGGCCGAAUGUAAGCCAGGUAUUGUAAGAAUGUGCAUUAACAUAUUGUUGUUCGAAAAGCGUAG